RNAcentral lists this ribosomal RNA (253 nucleotides) under uncultured bacterium. RNAcentral's name for it is "partial 16S ribosomal RNA". It matches the Rfam family "Bacterial small subunit ribosomal RNA", at positions 524 to 776 of the family's 1533-position model. The record is from RNAcentral.
UACGUAGGGUGCGAGCGUUAAUCGGAAUUACUGGGCGUAAAGCGUGCGCAGGCGGCUAUUUAAGCUUGCUGUGAAAACCCCGGGCUUAACCUGGGAACUGCAGUGAGGACUGGAUGGCUGGAGUGUGGCAGAGGGGGGUGGAAUUCCACGUGUAGCAGUGAAAUGCGUAGAGAUGUGGAGGAACACCGAUGGCGAAGGCAGCCCCCUGGGCUAACACUGACGCUCAGGCACGAAAGCGUGGGGAGCAAACAGG